CCUACGGGCGGCUGCAGUGGGGAAUUUUGGACAAUGGGCGCAAGCCUGAUCCAGCAAUGCCGCGUGCAGGAUGAAGGCCUUCGGGUUGUAAACUGCUUUUGUACGGAACGAAACGGUCUGCCCUAAUACGGUGGGCUAAUGACGGUACCGUAAGAAUAAGCACCGGCUAACUACGUGCCAGCAGCCGCGGUAAUACGUAGGGUGCGAGCGUUAGUCGGAAUUACGGGGCGUAAAAUAUGAGAAGGCGGUGAAAUCCCCGGGCUUAACCUGGGACCUGCAUUUGUGACUGUAUAGCUAGAGUACGGCAGAGGGGGAUGGAAUUCCGCGUGUAGCAGUGAAAUGCGUAGAUAUGCGGAGGAACACCGAUGGCGAAGGCAAUCCCCUGGGCCUGUACUGACGCUCAUGCACGAAAGCGUGGGGAGCAAACAGGAUUAGAUACCCGAGUAGUC
Molecule: ribosomal RNA, 449 nt
Filed under: uncultured bacterium
Lineage: Bacteria
Description: partial 16S ribosomal RNA
Rfam family: Bacterial small subunit ribosomal RNA
Source: RNAcentral